GGUGGUUCUCGGGUGACAUAUCCCAGAGUCGGGCUCCCUCUUCUCUGGUUUCCAGUUUGUCACCCGAGAACCACA
Molecule: non-coding RNA, 75 nt
Organism: Myotis brandtii (Brandt's bat)
Lineage: Eukaryota; Metazoa; Chordata; Mammalia; Chiroptera; Vespertilionidae
Source: Rfam